AUGUGCCACUCAAAACACACUGGAGGGAUGGGCUUUAGGGACCAUGAAGCUUUCAACCAGGCGCUAUUGGCGAAGCAAGCAUGGAGGAUUGUGCAGGUACCGGACUCCCUCUGUGCUAGGGUACUUCGUGCGAGAUACUUUAAAGACAGCUCAAUUAUGAGUGCAACAUGUCCGUCUGGUGGAUCAUACACCUUCAAAAGCAUCCUCCAUGGG
RNAcentral lists this ribosomal RNA (213 nucleotides) under Triticum aestivum (bread wheat). RNAcentral describes it as "partial small subunit ribosomal RNA". The record is from RNAcentral. Lineage: Eukaryota; Viridiplantae; Streptophyta; Magnoliopsida; Poales; Poaceae.